RNAcentral lists this ribosomal RNA (253 nucleotides) under uncultured bacterium. RNAcentral's name for it is "partial 16S ribosomal RNA". It matches the Rfam family "Bacterial small subunit ribosomal RNA", at positions 524 to 776 of the family's 1533-position model. The record is from RNAcentral.
UACGUAGGUGGCGAGCGUUGUCCGGAAUUACUGGGCGUAAAGGGCUCGUAGGCGGCCAACUAAGUCAGACGUGAAAUCCCUCGGCUUAACCGGGGAACUGCGUCUGAUACUGGAUGGCUUGAGUUCGGGAGAGGGAUGCGGAAUUCCAGGUGUAGCGGUGAAAUGCGUAGAUAUCUGGAGGAACACCGGUGGCGAAGGCGGCAUCCUGGACCGACACUGACGCUGAGGAGCGAAAGCCAGGGGAGCAAACGGG